This 1202-nucleotide small RNA is filed under the name Arabidopsis thaliana (thale cress). RNAcentral describes it as "ATSL206740". The record is from RNAcentral. Lineage: Eukaryota; Viridiplantae; Streptophyta; Magnoliopsida; Brassicales; Brassicaceae.
UUAAUAUUCCUUGUUGUUUUUGAUGCAUUUUGUUAGUGUUUUCAGGAGAUAAGUAUGAAGAGCUGAGGGAAAUGGAUUUAGGCUUUGACGGAACAGCAAUACACUUGACCACCAAGCAAUCAAAGACACUCAACCUUGUUUUGGCUACUCCAUGCCAGGAAAUUACUCGACCGCCUUGCUGGCCGCAAUAGAAGAAGAGAGCAGUAUAUUCGACCACACCCUACAGGGAUCGAAAAAAAUGUGAUCGAGUACAGUUGAUGCAAUCAUGACUUCCACAUGUCAGGAAUUCACUCGAGGGCGGUGCUGGCUGCCACGAAGGAGAAGAGAUCGAGCCUCCUCUGGACAUGCCCUCGAGGAGAUAUGACGAGCCUGAGCCAAGUCAGCACAGGCCUAAGCCUAGUGAGCAAUGAGUCUCACAAGUCCCUGCGAGGCAUUCAUCAUUCGAGCCUCGGGAGCACGGGAGAAAGAAGAAUGCUGCACUCGUUCGAUCAAGCAGUAGGAGUACACGACUUCUCCAAUCUAGAAGUUUACGUGACCGCGGUGUUGGCCAGAGCAGAAGGAGAGAGGUCGAGUAUCAUCAAGGCGGUGCUGUUUGCCACGAAGGAGAAGAGAUCGAGUACCCACAGGGCAGAGGUGAGACACAACAGGAAGAUUCUUCAAUGGCCUGGGAGCAAUCACAGGCAGCUAUUGACGACCAACUCCGCUCUUUCUUCACCUGAGGUAAGCACCUCACUUCACCAUUGUAAUAUACCAUCACCUGUUUUUAUUUUGUUUCUGUGAUGUGUUUUGUCCUGAGUACUGUCUUCCAAAUUUGGUCACACAGUAGACUGUGUGAUUUAAGUUUGGGGGAAGGCUCAGGAAGUGUGUGUUGCAUUGUAUAUAGUCUUGAUUCUGUAUUCAUCUAAGGCAUAGAAAAAACCAAAAAAAUCGAAACAUUUGUGAAAAUGAUUUCACAAAAAUAGAGUGUUCCUAUAGUUGCAUUACAUUUAGGAUCGUGUCUUGAGUGUUUCAUUUAGGAUUGUUGCAUAUGCAAAGGGGAUAAUGAUGAGAUAGCCUUGUAAGCAUUUUGGUUCACAAGAUAAACUCAGUGCCCUCGGUGUUAGUUGUCUGAUGCGUAGUCAAUGAAAUUGAAGUAAAACUGAACCAUGCCUAGAAUGCUCUACUUGACCACACUGUCAUGAUUUGAUAUCAUUCCCUAUUAA